AUUGCCGAUAUUUGUCGGUUUUGCCCCUUUGUAAAAACAUAGGUGGCGCAACGACCGUUUAGGUUCAACAACACUUCCGGUAGCAUGUAAACACGUCAAAUCUGUGCACCUGUCAAUGGUAUAUCGAUGUUUUUCAGGAUUCCCUAAGUGUUUAAGCUGUUGUAAAUUAAGCUUUCCUGUAGAUAAAAAGUCGGUUAACUGUUAGGUAUCAGCCAUACAUAGAUUCGAUCAUGUAUUUCGCAACAAAAACCUCGAUGACUUCAGUUACACUGCGUGUUGUGGCACAUGCAUUCGGGGAGACGUUCAUCUCUGCAACUUCAGAAGGUAAACUGAUCCGACUGAAGAAAACAUGAAGAUUUAAUGGACCAGUUUAAUUAAGGCUGUACAAUGCCUUGAUACUAAGAGCCUGACCUGUCCAGUUUAUGCUUGGAAUUGGGGAAGAUUUAACAUUAAAAAAAAUGUACACCUUGGGACUGUAUUUUAAGGUAGGUCAUUAAAAUACUUGUGCCAGUUUUCAUUACACUGAAUUUAAACCAUAAAUAAGUAGUUUACUUUAAAAUUUUGAGACAACAUUGUAUCUUGGGAUCUGAGAAUUUGAUAUGCGUAGAAUAUGGCAUCCAUGUUUGGACUUUUUUAGAAAGAAAAAAAUUGAUAGAACACCCCCGUUUUUUGGCAUUAGAAGUGGCAUUGGGGCUUUACUUAUUUUGACCCCAAAUAGACCUUUCAAAAUCAAAACCCUGUCAUUUAUCUUUGUUUGGAUAUAUCAGGGCACUAUAAUAAAUACUGUUUAUCAAUUUAUGAUAUGAAAAUUGAUAGUUACAUGUAAAUUGAAUUUAGAUACAUUUAUUUUUUUGUUUUAGAAAUUGACUGAAAU
Long non-coding RNA from Saccostrea cuccullata (small rock oyster), 874 nucleotides. RefSeq lists it as uncharacterized. Lineage: Eukaryota; Metazoa; Mollusca; Bivalvia; Ostreida; Ostreidae. The record is from RefSeq and is a predicted model, not a curated record. The transcript is spliced from 3 exons.